Molecule: long non-coding RNA, 485 nt
Organism: Zea mays
Lineage: Eukaryota; Viridiplantae; Streptophyta; Magnoliopsida; Poales; Poaceae
Exons: 2
Source: RefSeq, a predicted model, not a curated record
UGGAAGAGCUGUUCGAUUAGCCCACUCGUGAUUCCAUCACCGGCCCAUUACCGGCGAAAUCCUUCACCCCGGCCCGGGAACCAUCCCACGAGUCUAGACGUGUGGAACCGAUCCCCUGGCGCUAGCACACGGACGAAGCAACACACGGCGGCGGUGGCGGGGGACGACGACGUCAGCACGGCGAUCUUCUCAGCGAGCGACGGCUUUCUCUCCAGUAACCUUCUGGCUGGCUUUGCAUCUGUAGAUCACUUCUGCUAUUACUAUCUCAGGUUUUGAACUUAGAAGCCCUAGCAACUCGGUGGCAACUGGUAACAACAGCCUAGAAUUGUGGUUGUUGGAGAUGUUUGUAUUUUUAAUUCUUGAUCACGAUGAGGACAUGUAAAAAGUUGACAAAUUAGCAUUGUUGGUGGUAACUGGUAGCAGCAACUCUGUUUUAUUUUCAUGUAGUGUAUUUCCUAAAAAAGUUAUUUAAAUAUUGUGUAAAC